AUGGGCUAUUAGCUCAGGUGGUUAGAGCGCACCCCUGAUAAGGGUGAGGUCCCUGGUUCAAGUCCAGGAUAGCCCACCU
RNAcentral lists this transfer RNA (79 nucleotides) under uncultured Hydrocoleum sp. RNAcentral describes it as "tRNA-Ile". It matches the Rfam family "tRNA". From Rfam's summary of the family: Transfer RNA (tRNA) molecules are approximately 80 nucleotides in length. Their secondary structure includes four short double-helical elements and three loops (D, anti-codon, and T loops). Further hydrogen bonds mediate the characteristic L-shaped molecular structure. tRNAs have two regions of fundamental functional importance: the anti-codon, which is responsible for specific mRNA codon recognition, and the 3' end, to which the tRNAs corresponding amino acid is attached (by aminoacyl-tRNA synthetases). tRNAs cope with the degeneracy of the genetic code in two manners: having more than one tRNA (with a specific anti-codon) for a particular amino acid; and 'wobble' base-pairing, i.e. permitting non-standard base-pairing at the 3rd anti-codon position. The record is from RNAcentral. Lineage: Bacteria; Bacillati; Cyanobacteriota; Cyanophyceae; Oscillatoriales; Microcoleaceae.